RNAcentral lists this ribosomal RNA (484 nucleotides) under uncultured bacterium. Its description in RNAcentral is "partial 16S ribosomal RNA". It matches the Rfam family "Bacterial small subunit ribosomal RNA", at positions 30 to 507 of the family's 1533-position model. The record is from RNAcentral.
AUUGAACGCUGGCGGCAGGCCUAACACAUGCAAGUCGAGCGGAUGAAGGGAGCUUGCUCCUGGAUUCAGCGGCGGACGGGUGAGUAAUUCCUAGGAAUCUGCCUGGUAGUGGGGGAUAACGUCCGGAAACGGGCGCUAAUACCGCAUACGUUCUGAGGGAGAAAGUGGGGGAUCUUCGGACCUCACGCUAUCAGCUUAGCCUAGGUCGGAUUAGCUAGUUGGUGGGGUAAUGGCCUACCAAGGCGACGAUCCGUAACUGGUCUGAUAGGCUGAUCAGUCACACUGGAACUGAGACACGGUCCAGACUCCUACGGGAGGCAGCAGUGGGGAAUAUUGGACAAUGGGCGAAAGCCUGAUCCAGCCAUGCCGCGUGUGUGAAGAAGGUCUUCGGAUUGUAAAGCACUUUAAGUUGGGAGGAAGGGCAGUAAGUUAAUACCUUGCUGUUUUGACGUUACCAACAGAAUAAGCACCGGCUAACUUCGUG